GGGGAGAGGCCUUUGGGUUGUAACUCCUUUUCUCAGGGAAGAAGAACUGACGGUACCUGAGGAAUCAGCCUCGGCUAACUCCGUGCCAGCAGCCGCGGUAAUACGGAGGAGGCAAGCGUUAUCCGGAAUUAUUGGGCGUAAAGCGUUCGUAGGCGGCGUUUCAAGUCUGCUGUCAAAGGCCGAGGCUCAACUUCGGAAAGGCAGUGGAAACUGAAAAGCUAGAGGUCGGUAGGGGCAGAGGGAAUUCCCAGUGUAGCGGUGAAAUGCGUAGAUAUUGGGAAGAACACCGGUGGCGAAAGCGCUCUGCUGGGCCGAACCUGACGCUGAGGGACGAAAGCUAGGGGAGCGAAAGGGAUUAGAUACCCCCAGUA
RNAcentral lists this ribosomal RNA (371 nucleotides) under Cyanobacteria bacterium NIONPL. RNAcentral describes it as "bacterial SSU rRNA". It matches the Rfam family "Bacterial small subunit ribosomal RNA", at positions 404 to 792 of the family's 1533-position model. The record is from RNAcentral. Lineage: Bacteria; Bacillati; Cyanobacteriota.